UCGUUGUAUCAAAGAAAAACACAUCUGGAGCCUUUCCAGUGCCCUGCCAGAGAAGGCAAAUCAUCACAAGUGGGCAUCUUCAUCACCCCGGAGGAGGCCAUGAUGAGGAGGCAGUAGUUCACCCUCGGGGUUGAGAGUAUGUACCAGUAGCUCCGUGUUUAAUCUCUCUCUCUCUCUCUCUCUCUCUCUCGUGUUCUCGAGAUGUCACAAUCUAGAUAAAUCACGGGCUUUGUUAAUAUAGUCAGAUCAUAU
Molecule: long non-coding RNA, 252 nt
Filed under: Hordeum vulgare
Lineage: Eukaryota; Viridiplantae; Streptophyta; Magnoliopsida; Poales; Poaceae
Description: long non-coding RNA (HVUL_LNC010249)
Source: RNAcentral